Takifugu rubripes (torafugu) is the source of this 46-nucleotide non-coding RNA. The record is from Rfam. Lineage: Eukaryota; Metazoa; Chordata; Actinopteri; Tetraodontiformes; Tetraodontidae.
AAAACGGCUCUUUUAAGAGCCACACACAUCCCCUAUAGAGCAUUAU